CAGCAGCCACGGUAAUACGGAGGGGGCUAGCGUUGUUCGGAAUUACUGGGCGUAAAGCGCACGUAGGCGGCUUGGUAAGUUAGAGGUGAAAGCCUGGAGCUCAACUCCAGAAUUGCCUUUAAGACUGCCGAGCUAGCAGGUGAGAGAGGUAAGUGGAAUUCCGAGUGUAGAGGUGAAAUUCGUAGAUAUUCGGAAGAACACCAGUGGCGAAGGCGGCUUACUGGCUCAUACUGGACGCUGAGGUGCGAAAGCGUGUGGAGCAAACAGGAUUAGAUACCCGUGUAGUCCCUGUCUCUAUACA
This 301-nucleotide ribosomal RNA is filed under the name uncultured bacterium. RNAcentral describes it as "partial 16S ribosomal RNA". It matches the Rfam family "Bacterial small subunit ribosomal RNA", at positions 509 to 808 of the family's 1533-position model. The record is from RNAcentral.